This 484-nucleotide ribosomal RNA is filed under the name uncultured bacterium. RNAcentral's name for it is "partial 16S ribosomal RNA". It matches the Rfam family "Bacterial small subunit ribosomal RNA", at positions 30 to 507 of the family's 1533-position model. The record is from RNAcentral.
AUUGAACGCUCGCGGGAUGCUUUACACAUGCAAGUCGAACGGCAGCGCGGACUUCGGUCUGGCGGCGAGUGGCGAACGGGUGAGUAAUGUAUCGGAACGUGCCCAGUAGCGGGGGAUAACUACGCGAAAGCGUAGCUAAUACCGCAUACGCCCUACGGGGGAAAGCAGGGGAUCGUAAGACCUUGCACUAUUGGAGCGGCCGAUAUCGGAUUAGCUAGUUGGUGAGGUAACGGCUCACCAAGGCGACGAUCCGUAGCUGGUUUGAGAGGACGACCAGCCACACUGUGACUGAGACACGGCCCAGACUCCUACGGGAGGCAGCAGUGGGGAAUUUUGGACAAUGGGGGCAACCCUGGUCCAGCCAUCCCGCGUGUGCGAUGAAGGACUUCGGGUUGUAAAGCACUUUUGGCAGGAAAGAAACGUCGCGGGCUAAUACCCCGUGGAACUGACGGUACCUGCAGAAUAAGCACCGGCUAACUACGUG